RNAcentral lists this unclassified non-coding RNA (17 nucleotides) under Mus musculus (house mouse). Its description in RNAcentral is "oocyte_clustered_small_RNA13271". Lineage: Eukaryota; Metazoa; Chordata; Mammalia; Rodentia; Muridae. The record is from RNAcentral.
UAGCAGAGCCAGCAAGG